UANAAAAAACCCUAAGGAGGAAAAAUUCAAGAGAAAUUCAUUGGAUUUCCAAAAAACGAAGCAAUCAGAGGUGGUGAGCCCUCUAGUAAGGGUAAGGAUAUUGUACCUGAGGACUAGGAGUAGGAGUACUCCCGUUAUUGUUCAGAGCAGUCUGUAGACAGUCGAUUUUGUCAAGGGUUUGCUUUUAGAUUUGCACCCUUAGAAAUCGGGAGGCGAAAAACUGAUGCUAGAGCCUUACGAGGUUUCGGUUGACAUUUCGGGUAAGGUUUGUCUAUCAGGACAUCGCGGCGGUUGUCACGGGCUCGAAGAGAGUACCGGGUCAUGACACAUCUAGUGGUUGAAUGGCUAAGUUUCAAAGUGGGGUGGUUGCAAAAGAGUAGAGCAUAAUGGUGUGACUGUGAAGAGGAAAAAGUGUUUAAUGGAAAUUAGGCUUUUAUAUUUAGGCUUAGGUUAGUUUCAAAAUGGUGUCAUUUGGGGCAUUCUUGGAGCCAUCUUUUGAACACUAACAGUGCGUUGUGGGAAGAGAAAACAUGCCUUGUUGGAGAAGUCCUGCUGUGGCCCUUGUUUGGGUGAGCCUUUCCCUACGACUCGUGUCUUGGUAGACCCAUCAUGCUUUCUUGAAGUUGAGCUGGCUUGUUGACUUACCAUCAGAUCCAGAAUCUUGGAUCCUCAACUAAGUCUAGAAUUCUUGCAUUAAGUUUCAAACCUUUGGUGAGCCUAGGAAAGUUUAACCCUUUGAACCUUUAUUCCGUUGCUUGGUUGUGGGAUUAGUUUAGAUGUGUGCAUUCAUCUAGAUAUCUUUUUUAUGAGUUGGUUAAUUAUAUAUUUAAAAAAAAUGGUAUAAAAAUAUAUAUGUGCACAUAUACAAAUGAUGAAAUAAUAAUGAAAGUGGUAGUAUAUUAUUGUAUAAGAUAGUAAAUGCUUAUGUUGAAUAAUUGUGGUCGAUGCGGUUGUAUU
Molecule: non-coding RNA, 957 nt
Organism: Theobroma cacao (cacao)
Lineage: Eukaryota; Viridiplantae; Streptophyta; Magnoliopsida; Malvales; Malvaceae
Source: RefSeq, a predicted model, not a curated record